This 253-nucleotide ribosomal RNA is filed under the name uncultured bacterium. Its description in RNAcentral is "partial 16S ribosomal RNA". It matches the Rfam family "Bacterial small subunit ribosomal RNA", at positions 524 to 776 of the family's 1533-position model. The record is from RNAcentral.
UACGGAGGGGGCGAGCGUUGUUCGGAAUCAUUGGGCGUAAAGGGCGCGUAGGCGGCCUUGUAAGUCAGAUGUGAAAGCCCUUGGCUUAACCAAGGAAUUGCAUCUGAAACUGCGAGGCUUGAGUCCGGGAAGGGAGAGUGGAAUUCCCAGUGUAGCGGUGAAAUGCGUAGAUAUUGGGAGGAACACCGGUGGCGAAGGCGGCUCUCUGGACCGGUACUGACGCUGAUGCGCGAAAGCUAGGGGAGCAAACGGG